CAGCAGCCACGGUAAUACGUAGGUGGCAAGCGUUGUCCGGAAUUAUUGGGCGUAAAGGGCUCGCAGGCGGUUUCUUAAGUCUGAUGUGAAAGCCCCCGGCUCAACCGGGGAGGGUCGUUGGAAACUGGGAAACUUGAGUGCAGAAGAGGAGAGUGGAAUUCCACGUGUAGCGGUGAAAUGCGUAGAGAUGUGGAGGAACACCAGUGGCGAAGGCGACUCUCUGGUCUGUAACUGACGCUGAGGAGCGAAAGCGUGGGGAGCGAACAGGAUUAGAUACCCCAGUAGUCCCUGUCUCUUAUAU
RNAcentral lists this ribosomal RNA (301 nucleotides) under uncultured bacterium. Its description in RNAcentral is "partial 16S ribosomal RNA". It matches the Rfam family "Bacterial small subunit ribosomal RNA", at positions 509 to 809 of the family's 1533-position model. The record is from RNAcentral.